CUCAUACUCCCUCCGUCCGGAAAAGCUUGUCCCUCAAAUGGAUGUAUCUAGCAUAUAGUUAGUGCUAGAUUCAUCCAUGAGGAACAAGGUUGGGACAAGUUUUUUCGGACGGAGGGAGUACUUA
This is a non-coding RNA of Triticum aestivum (bread wheat), 124 nucleotides long. NCBI's taxonomy places the organism in Eukaryota, Viridiplantae, Streptophyta, Magnoliopsida, Poales, Poaceae. The record is from Rfam.